GUCGAACGAUGAAGCCCUUCGGGGUGGAUUAGUGGCGAACGGGUGAGUAACACGUGGGCAAUCUGCCCUUCACUCUGGGACAAGCCCUGGAAACGGGGUCUAAUACCGGAUAACACUCCUGCCUGCAUGGGCGGGGGUUAAAAGCUCCGGCGGUGAAGGAUGAGCCCGCGGCCUAUCAGCUUGUUGGUGGGGUAAUGGCCCACCAAGGCGACGACGGGUAGCCGGCCUGAGAGGGCGACCGGCCACACUUGGGACUGAGACACGGCCCAGACUCCUACGGGAGGCAGCAGUGGGGAAUAUUGCACAAUGGGCGAAAGCCUGAUGCAGCGACGCCGCGUGAGGGAUGACGGCCUUCGGGUUGUAAACCUCUUUCAGCAGGGAAGAAGCGAAAGUGACGGUACCUGCAGAAGAAGCGCCGGCUAACUACGU
Molecule: ribosomal RNA, 429 nt
Filed under: Streptomyces sp. 207-3.2-CV-H31(s)-04
Lineage: Bacteria; Bacillati; Actinomycetota; Actinomycetes; Kitasatosporales; Streptomycetaceae
Description: bacterial SSU rRNA
Rfam family: Bacterial small subunit ribosomal RNA
Source: RNAcentral